Molecule: ribosomal RNA, 447 nt
Filed under: uncultured bacterium
Lineage: Bacteria
Description: bacterial SSU rRNA
Rfam family: Bacterial small subunit ribosomal RNA
Source: RNAcentral
AAUCAACGCUGGCGGCGUGCCUCAGACAUGCAAGUCGAACGCGAAAGUCCCCUUCGGGGGAUGAGUAGAGUGGCGUCCGGGUGAGUAACACGCAGGUAAUCUACCUUUGGGUGGGGAAUAACCCCGAGAAAUCGGGGCUAAUACCGCAUAAUGCAGCGGCACCACAUGGUGACAGUUGUUAAAGCGGGGGAUCGCAAGACCUCGCGCCUAAAGAGGAGCCUGCGGCGGAUUAGCUAGUUGGUAGGGUAACGGCCUACCAAGGCAACGAUCCGUAGCCGGCCUGAGAGGGCGGUCGGCCACACUGACACUGAAAUACGGGUCAGACUCCUACGGGAGGCAGCAGUCGGGAAUUUUGGGCAAUGGGCGAAAGCCUGACCCAGCAACGCCGCGUGAAGGAUGGAAUCCCUCGGGAUGUAAACUUCGCAAGAACAGGAAGAAUAAGUAGGG